Molecule: ribosomal RNA, 148 nt
Filed under: Mycolicibacterium fortuitum subsp. fortuitum DSM 46621 = ATCC 6841 = JCM 6387
Lineage: Bacteria; Bacillati; Actinomycetota; Actinomycetes; Mycobacteriales; Mycobacteriaceae
Description: partial 23S ribosomal RNA
Rfam family: Bacterial large subunit ribosomal RNA
Source: RNAcentral
GAAGCUUGAGGAAAUCUGUCCCUAGUACGAGAGGACCGGGACGGACGAACCUCUGGUAUACCAGUUGUUCCACCAGGAGCACCGCUGGAUAGCCACGUUCGGACAGGAUAACCGCUGAAAGCAUCUAAGCGGGAAACCCCCUCCAAGA